UUCACCUACUUCCCCGACUCUGACCCUCCCUCUUAUGAGGCCCACCAGAUAACCCAGGCUGAUUUUCCCAUCUCAGGAACUUGAACUUAGUCACAUCUGCAGGUCCCUGUUGCCAUGGAAGGCAUGGUAUUCACAGGCUCUGGGGAUUAGGAUGGGGUGUCACUGGGGGACCAUUAUUCUGUCUACCAUGUGCCUCAAUAAUCGCCAGUGCAGGACGUGGCCAGCAGGUAGGGCUCAUGCAGGCGAUCUAGAACCCCCACCACUAAAGAAGCCCUCGGGAGCCCUGUCCUAGGGGACCACGUGGGGCAUAAAGGAACUGAAAGGGCCCUCAUUUUGUCUUCAAAACCUAGGAGGGAAGAGGGGAAGAGAAUGGUGGCGUCCAGAACCCAGGACCUGCAGGCCUGAUGCUCCUCCCCACUCCCGUCUUAUAGUCACCCUGCCCAGGGCCACCUCUCUGCCUUGUCCCCAUCAGCUUUAGGGCCUUCCCGACAGAUGGAAAUGGUGCCUUCCUCCCCAUCUCUUCUACUGGAGUGUGCUCCCCUAGUGCCCAGCACGAUGUGGGCACAGAACGGGUACCCAGUAAACACCGGGAACCACGUAAACGUAUACACUGUAUAUGCGUGCUUUGUAUACAUAAACGUGUUUUUAUUUCUGGUAUACAGUGUUUGGAAAAGGCUUUUUUCAUAUACACAUACAAACGUUUAUGUGCACAUUUUACAUAUGCAGACAGGUUUAUAUGCCUAAAAGCACAUUUUAUAUAGAGAACACAGGCGUUCGGUAAACGAUUGUUUCAUAAAUACACUUACAUCUAUGUAUGUACAUACGUGCAUACAAGUACAUAUAUAUGAAUGAAGGAAUUUAGAUAAAAAGCAAGACGUGGUUUAAAGGCAG
This is a long non-coding RNA of Acinonyx jubatus (cheetah), 891 nucleotides long. RefSeq lists it as uncharacterized. The transcript is spliced from 2 exons. Lineage: Eukaryota; Metazoa; Chordata; Mammalia; Carnivora; Felidae. The record is from RefSeq and is a predicted model, not a curated record.